Molecule: transfer RNA, 76 nt
Filed under: Halobacteriovoraceae bacterium
Lineage: Bacteria; Pseudomonadati; Bdellovibrionota; Bacteriovoracia; Bacteriovoracales; Halobacteriovoraceae
Also listed under: 2 other names
Description: tRNA-Phe
Rfam family: tRNA
About the family: Transfer RNA (tRNA) molecules are approximately 80 nucleotides in length. Their secondary structure includes four short double-helical elements and three loops (D, anti-codon, and T loops).
Source: RNAcentral
GCCCUGAUAGCUCAGUUGGUAGAGCAAAGGACUGAAAAUCCUUGUGUCGGUGGUUCGAGCCCGCCUCGGGGCACCA